Long non-coding RNA from Mustela erminea (ermine), 2600 nucleotides. RefSeq lists it as uncharacterized. The record is from RefSeq and is a predicted model, not a curated record. The transcript has 3 exons. Lineage: Eukaryota; Metazoa; Chordata; Mammalia; Carnivora; Mustelidae.
UUUGGCAGUCACAAUAAAGACUCUGCCAGAAAGAUCAGGGCUCCUCACCGAACUAAAGUCCCUGAGGGACACAGCACACGAGUGACCGACCUAACGCCGGCUAGGCGGUGAGGUGUUUCUAACAAGUGCCCCAUCACCAAAGCCCCCAAAGGAGGAAGCCGCUGGAGACCAGGCGCCGGGCACUUCUCCCUCCUCUGAACAGCCAGACUGCCUCGGGUGCAGCUGGCCGUUUUGAGGGCUGCCCGGGUGUGGAGCGUGCGCUCUGCAGAAGGUUCUGCCCAGCGACCUUGGGUCUUCAGAUGAAAUAGAGCUCCAGUCAAGGAGCCUCAUACACCUGGUCGUGACUUAGGCAAUCCUGGACUUUCAAGGCAAUUCCAUGAAAGUAUAUGUGCUGCCGAAGCGAGCACCAGCUUGGGACUUCAGCUUGGGAAUCAGAUGACAAAACGCCUUUCAGCUUUCACCUGGAUUUCUUGGAAUUCUUUCUUUGGAAUGUUCCUUCUUGGAACCUCACCACCCUGCUGUGAGAAGCUAAGGUCACAUGGAAAAGCCACAUGAAGAGAGAAAACAAUGCUGGCCAUAUCCUAGCUGUUUCAAACAUACAGCCCGGACAUAAAUGAAGGAACCAUCUUGGACGGUCUAGCCCCAGCAGACACUGUAUAGAAAAGAACCCAAAUCCCAGACAUAUGACCCCAGUCAAGCUGUCCCUACCAUCUCCAGCCAUUUUUGUGCCAUCACCACUGAGGCCCCCAGACGCUGGGAAGCAAAGACAAACCAUCCUUUUUGUGCCCUGCCCAAACUUCUGACCCCCUGAAUGAGUAUAAUGAAAUGGUAGUUGUUUCAUGCCACUAAGUUUUGAGUGGUUUGUUAUGUAGGAUUAGAUAACUGAACAACAGUGAAAAGAUAAUGUUCCCAAGAUAAUGUUUCCUUCCCCAAAGAAGAUUCUGGUCUGGCCUACUCAUUCUUCCCUUCCCCUGAUUUCUAGGGGAGUUCUACCUUCCCAGACUAGUUCUUAAGCUGUUCUUUGUCAUGGAGAACUAAGAAGAAAAGAAGAAGGAAAGAAGACCACAAUGCAGAAAUCUGGGAUGUGGGGGGAAGAGGUGAAGGGACAGUUGUUGAGAAGAAAAGAAAAGCAGCUCUAGCAUGUGAAGGCAAUGGGUAGGAAAGGGGGGAUUCUCACAAGUCUCAUGGAAGACUCCAUGAGCUUCACAGCCUUUGAAAGGUAUAGAUAAAGGAUUUGAAAUCUUUUCAAAUAGUUUUGGCUAGAUAGACUUUUUUCUUUCAUUCAGGACCAGAUUAAUUAUGGCUAAUACUUAUGGCUUAUAAGUGUUAUAAAGGGCACUCCCUCCCCUUGGACCCCAUUCCAGACCACGCUGUGUUUUUCUGCUAAGUGCUACAGAGGAAAAGUAUGGGUUGAUAUGAGUGUGUACAGGUGAACAUGUUACGCUCUCCGGAACAGGGAAAGCUGCAAAUGAGGAGGGACAGUGAGGCUGAGUCCUGAAGGAUGAGUUGUAGCUAACUGGGCCAACGUGAGAGAAGAAACUUCCAGACGAAUAAGAGCCUACAUAGAGGAUGGUUUAAUCAAGAAACCCAAGUGAAGGCCAGUGUAGAGUGUGGAGAACAACAGAGAGAGCAGAGAAGUGAGAAGAAAUUGGAGAGGUUGGCAUCUGAGGCCAAAUAAACCAGGAGCGCCAGGCCUGUCAGUUAGGUCUGUAGAGCUCUUAUCUUCCCCAGGGGUCUGAAAUACCACGUAAUCAGUGGCACGAUCUGGCAGCAAGGAGCAGAAAUGCCGAACAGCUCAACAGCUCGGCCUGAAGUUGCAGAUGUGGGAGUGGUGUCCAGCCCCUGGCCACUCGGCUGCUGAUAGCAUCUCUAUUACGGCCAUACUGCAGCUUUCCUAAGGACAAGUGGAAGCUUCUGGUUCCAUGGGAAAUUUCACAAAUCAGGUUAUGGGAGUCAGGCCAGUUCCACAUCCUCAAAGCCAGGUGAAAUCGCAGUCCCUUCCACUGGGAAAAACAAUAGCCCUCUCUGCCUCACAGGGGUGGGUUAUUAUGAGGAACAAAUAAGAUACUAUCUGUGAAAGCACCCAUAUUCACUAAAGCCUAUAUAAAUGGGAGGGGCAAUAGUGACGAACAAGAAGAAGGAGAAUAAUAAUAGAGUUCUGAUGCCAACAAGGACAAAAACCUCUGAGGCUUUAGGGUUGGGUGGUUUGCUCAAGGUGCAAAAGGAGCAAAAUUUGAGCUUUUAAUGAUGAGAACCGUGUGACAGGGCUAAUUCUUAAAGCCUUCUCAGACAACAGUAGCUGGAGUUUAGGCUGAGCCCAGUGUUCUAUGGAAUAUCUUGACUUAAUGAUCUUCUGUUGAGACCAAAGUCAGAUCUACUGACCCACUGAAUGCAUGAAAGUCAAUGUCAACAUUACCCACUGAGGAUAGGGAUAAGGGUAGGCUUCACAAAGGUGGAGAUUGAGUCUUGAAAAUUAAUUAAAGGUUACAGACAGCUGGAGAGUAGAAGGAAGGACAGUUCAGAAAGAGGUAGGUGAACGUGCAGAAGUAUGAAAGCCAAAAAAUAAAAUAAAAAAUAACUUCAGGGAGAUAAAAAAAGAA